RNAcentral lists this ribosomal RNA (253 nucleotides) under uncultured bacterium. RNAcentral's name for it is "partial 16S ribosomal RNA". It matches the Rfam family "Bacterial small subunit ribosomal RNA", at positions 524 to 776 of the family's 1533-position model. The record is from RNAcentral.
UACAGAGGUCUCAAGCGUUGUUCGGAUUCAUUGGGCGUAAAGGGUGUGUAGGUGGCGCGCUAAGUCGGGUGUGAAAUUUCGGAGCUUAACUCCGAAACUGCACUCGAUACUGCUCUGCUUGAGGACUGGAGAGGAGACUGGAAUUCACGGUGUAGCAGUGAAAUGCGUAGAUAUCGUGAGGAAGACCAGUGGCGAAGGCGGGUCUCUGGACAGUUCCUGACGCUGAGGCGCGAAGGCCAGGGGAGCAAACGGG